This 78-nucleotide transfer RNA is filed under the name Caldisericum exile AZM16c01. RNAcentral's name for it is "tRNA-Thr". It matches the Rfam family "tRNA". From Rfam's summary of the family: Transfer RNA (tRNA) molecules are approximately 80 nucleotides in length. Their secondary structure includes four short double-helical elements and three loops (D, anti-codon, and T loops). Lineage: Bacteria; Pseudomonadati; Caldisericota; Caldisericia; Caldisericales; Caldisericaceae. The record is from RNAcentral.
AGCCCAUGUAGCUCAGUCGGUAGAGCGCGUCCUUGGUAAGGACGAGGUCACCAGUUCAAUCCUGGUCGUGGGCUCCAU